UCAGGCUGCUGUAGCUGAAGAGUCAUGAAGGAUUGCAACCUUCAUGGUUGGAGAAACAGCACAUCUUGAGAGCUGUGUGGGACAGUCUCAAGUACUCCCACACAGUAGCUGCUGUACAGGGAGCGUUCACUGUCGUGAUUCUUGUGCACUACAGGGGCUGCUGAAGUGAAGGAAAUGAAUGCAAGGGCCACUAAAACAGCCUCAGUUCUUGAUGUAUGUGGAUCUCUGAGAAUACAAGCAGGAAAAAAGCUGCCAAGGUACACUAAGUCACUCUGCAGCCCUCCCUCCAUCUGUGCCUUUGAGAGGUGGCACAGCUCAGCACUUGGUGUCUUUUUAUCCAAGUGGUAGAACUCCAAAAGGUUUUUAUAGCAGGAAGUGGUAGGUGGAGGCAUCCUAAGGGCUGGAGCAAGGCUAAGACACAUCUGCCAGGGAAGCUUGGGUGAGUGGGAGGACGAUGCAAGAACAUGCCUGGCAUGAGAGAGCCUUCCCAGAGACGAACACAGCUGAGAGACAGUGAUCGAGAGUGUAACUGAGUAACAGUCACUGGAGUGGAGUUCAUCCAGGGCUCAGUUUAAGGCCAGAUGUGGAACGUGGCUCACUCCAUUGUACCACAGAGAAGUGGAACAUGAGAUGUGUGAAUCUCCUCUCUUACAUCUUCCCACCUUUCCCCUCUCUCCAAGCAGGAGAAGAAACUUUAUGGAAUGAGAGCAUUCUUUCCUUAAAGCCAAAGCAACCUUAUCACUCCUCCCAGUAUUCUUUUCACAGUCUUUAUAGACUGCUCCGUUGUUACUGAGCAACUGCUGUCUCUGCUGGAGCAGAACAAUGUUGUGAGCUGAGACUUAGCCCUCGACUUGGAGCUAGAGGACAGAUUGGCUCUCCCAGAUCAGCUGGAGCAGUGAAUAUAAAGAAGCUAAGGAAACAAGUCUGCUUACUGGAACUUGAGCCAUCAUUUCUACAUCCUUUUGCAAAACCAAAACUGAAAGCAUAUGAACUGCAACUGCUGAAGUGAACAUGUUCAUCUAGGAAAGUUGUACUGAAGCCUUUUCUAGGGGAAAAUGAUUCAUAUGACUUAGCAUAGGAAAAGAGGAUGAUUUCCUUUGUUUAAAACUCCAGGGAGAAUUCCUUAUUUGGAAACUGUGUGCAGAUCCUCCCUCUGGGAGAAUCUGUUUGCUGUUUCCUAAGGGUGUGUUCCUAGCUGUGAGAACAGCCCAGAUUUUAAAGGCAGAAGACUUUUUUUCCCCACUAGGAAUGCAGUCUACCAAGCUGCUUCAGCAGCUUCUCUGUCCAGCUGAACAUUUACAUUUCAUUUGAGUAGUGAAUUUAAUUAUCUGCUUGGAGGAUACAGAUUGAAUGAUCAUCUUGCUGUUUCAUCCUCUUUGGACUCUAAACUUAAACCAGACAGGUAGUAGUUUUAGCCAUUUAGGUGAAACAGCAGGUGGUUUGAUUAGGAAAACACAGGAUGUAGCAAGAGAUGGGAAAUCAUACAGCUGGAAGGAAUUAAGCCUCUCCCUGUAAGAGGCUGUAUUUGCAAUGGCUUCAGGAGUGGUUUGCAUUCAUUCACUAAAGCAGCAGCACAGGAUUUUUAGAAUGGGGUUUCUGUGCCUGGCAGCAAACUAGAAAAUGUCAGAGUGACUGGGAAAAUUCCUGAGGAUUUAUGUUUUGAGCUAAUGCUUAAUCAGAAUUUACAAAAGGCAACCAAUCUGAUAGAGUGGUGAGAUAGGAGGCAGGUCAGACACAAAAUCUCUAUUAUAACAUUAGUAAUAACAUUAGGGAACCAUAACGAGUAGCUUUGUUUCAGAAGUAGGCUGUAUAAUAUACCCUGUGUUGAAUGUAAGGUGUGUAAUUAGAUCUUCCUGUUAAACUUGUUUCUGGAGGGCUAAUAUUCCUGUCUGCUCUGGGGCAGGGAAAGAAAAGAAAAGCCAGGAAUUCAGAAAAAAAGGCUGUAGAAGACACACCAGACAGAAGACACUCCAGGCAGAAAGGGGAAAACCCUAAGUUUGCAUUUUUGUGGUCCCAUUAAGCUGAUAGACAUGACCAAGAGCCAGGCUGGGGAACUUGGUCAGGUGCUAUCAUUUGCAGGAGCAGAGAGAAGUCAUGCAGGUAGGUAAGUGGAUUAGUGCAGGAUUAUCUAUUGCUAGUACAACUGUCAUGGUCAGAUGUCCUCUCAAGACCUAAAGGGACAGGAGAAGAGAAGUUACAGGUCUUCAUCCUGUUCUGGUACCAUAUUAUCUGCGAAAAUGAGGUCCUCAUGUUCUACAUGUGGUCAGUAGCUGCCUCUAAGAAGGACACAAUCUGGAGGCUGCUGUGAGCUGCAUGUUCUGCAUCCAGGCUAGUUUCUCCUAGUAAGAUGAAGAGCCAUUCCUGGAGCAGCUGGAGGCUGUGCUGUACUGUCAGUGCCCCCAAGGACUUGAAGGGAAAUUAGUCAUGUACGGUGGAGGAGUGGGAAGGAAAAGAUGAUAAACAACAACACAAAAAAAAGGUCACUUGCAUUUUUGGGCUUGACUUUCCUUCCAAACCUGAACUUUCUCCUGAUGGAAGCAAUGCAGCAGCCAUGGAUUCCAAAAGGAAGAGAGACAUAAAACCAUUAUUGUGGGUGAUCUUAGCUCUUGCUUCCCUCCUUUACAAUGGAAUAAUACAAUUUCUUCUUUCUUCUGUCUGCACAGGAGGUCAAAUAGACCAAAGAGCAUCUGUACUGCCGCAGGGAAUUGUGAAAAAUAAGCUACAGCCUGACAUUAGCUGGAGCCCUGUUCUACAGGCCCACCCCAUCCCUUGGCAGCCAAGCAGAGCAGGGCUGUACCCACCCAUGCUAGGGGCACAGCUUUGCCAUUACAGCUCAGCAGCUAAAAUAGAAACCUGCUUCCUGGAUUCCUCUUUAUGAUAGCAUCAAAAUCUCUAAACCCUUGCAGUACCUGAUACUGAAGUAGGUUGCUCUGUACACCAGGCAAGUCUCCCCAUUACGAGUUCUUCCAAUAUUUCACACUUUCAGGUUUGGCCUUUUAUAUCAAUUUGGUGGUUUUGGUGGGGUUUGGUAGCAGCCAUUAUUUGCCCCCCUCACAGUGUAAGUCAGCCUCUUCUAUUUCAUGAGCGUGUACUUUUGGCAGCAGCCUUUCAAAAAGAUCAGAGACUCUCAGGUCUUUAAUAUACAACUGUUAAUUAGAUCUACUGCAAUUAAAUCUAAAUAAAGAUUUGCUGUCUAAGCUAUUUAGCUCUGUUAAGACCAUUCAGCCAUCAAAUAAACCUGCCUUGUUCUGCUCAAACA
This is a long non-coding RNA of Pogoniulus pusillus (Red-fronted tinkerbird), 3259 nucleotides long. RefSeq lists it as uncharacterized. The record is from RefSeq and is a predicted model, not a curated record. NCBI's taxonomy places the organism in Eukaryota, Metazoa, Chordata, Aves, Piciformes, Lybiidae. The transcript has 3 exons.